RNAcentral lists this long non-coding RNA (2848 nucleotides) under Triticum aestivum (bread wheat). RNAcentral describes it as "long non-coding RNA (TAES_LNC025580)". The record is from RNAcentral. Lineage: Eukaryota; Viridiplantae; Streptophyta; Magnoliopsida; Poales; Poaceae.
UACCCUGGCGCAUGUUGUUGGUUGUUUAAUUCUGGAAUCACAAGUUAAUGCAUUUUGCUAUGUGGGUACCCAGCCAUCCAGUAUGUGAGUGAUUUCUUGGCAGCAGAUUUAUGAUUUCUAUGGAUGCAUCGCACUAAUUGAAUUUACAAAUAAGUGUGUUCAUUACAAUCAGGGUUAUCUUCCCAUCUGUGUGGCUGUAAACUGUUCUGCUGCGGCUUCAAUCAUGAAUUGUGAAUCCCUUCCCCAACGUGAUUUUCCAGGUCGUCUGCAUUCCUAAUGGCUCUUCUAUCCGUGCAUCAACACCAAUAUUGUAUACAAGCUUUCCAAUCGCCACAACAUCUUGGUCUGGAAGGACAGAAGCGGCGUGAGAUUUCUUAGAUUUUGAUGGAUACAUGCACAAUGAGGAUGAUGCCAAAUUUGGGCAACUACAUUGCCGUCUCACCCCACUCACCCUCAGGUUUGUCUUCUGCCUUUUUCUGUUCUAUUCUAAUGGUACUUGAUGCUCCCUGGAUGGAAUUAGUACAUGAAUGUUGUUUGAAGUGUGAGCUUGGAUUCAGGUCGAUUGGCUGAGUAAGUGGACUAAAAUUAAGCAAACAUAUUAUAUCUUCCAGUUUCGGUGAGAUCAUGCACACAUCAGCAUAUAUACUCUCAAGCUAAGCCAUUUUUUUACUUCCUAUGACUACACUAAUAUCAGAGAAUCAGUUCAUACAGUGUUGAGUAAAAAGAAUGUGUGUAUCAGCCUGCUAAUGUGGCCUCUCGGAAUUUGGUGUAUACGUUUCUCUAAAUAGAGUCAUGUUGGUCAUAUUGCAAUUUAUAGCUUGGGCUAUUACAACUGUACCGCGAGGAAAAGAUUGAUCAAUUUAUCCUCUAGUAGAUAUAUUAAUAUUGCAGUUAAUAAUCCUCAAGUCAUUGCAACAUAGAGUGUAUGAACAUGCAGGCUUCAAAAUAGCAUAUAAUUGAUCUAUUGAUUCAUUAGCAGAAUAUUGUCUAGGUAGUUUCAUGUGAUUUCUACCUCUAAAAACGUUCUAUAGGAUUUCUCAGCCUGAAAAUUACUAAGGAGUCUCCAUGUGACCGGGAUAGAUAGUAUGAGCUUCCGAGAAAUGAGAACAAACUAAACUUCAGUCUGACCAUUCUAUAUCAUUUUUGGAAUAUAUAUUUAGAAAGGGUGAUCUUUUUGAGGGAAAACAAAGGGUGAUCUUGAUUGAUUCCCCUAACUAGGUCCCUGUUUUACUGAAUUAACAUAAUUGGGCCUUUAUGCAGUACUUGGGGAUCACUUACAGGGUCGUAUUAGAUUUUUCUGAAGAUACCAACAAAUAAAUAUAUGGUCCCCUUGAUUGAGUUUUUUAUGUAGGAAUUAUGGCGGACAUAAAUCCAUAAAAAUACCAUAAGGAUUUCUUGAUCUAUAGGACUGUUUUGAAAUAAAAUACUUCCAACGAUUACUUAUAUUGAACAACAUUUUAGAGGGCAAUUUCCAUCGACUCAAAUCUCUAUGAAAAAACAGUUUUUUCACCAGGCAAUCGUAAAAGUUCAAUGCAAAUUAAAUUAUGUGUUUUUAAUAAAAGUCCAAUCUGAGAUCUUAUGUUUUCCAUAUUUCAUUACAAACCUGUGAAUUCCAGAGGCAUGUCGUUGCACAAAAUCUGUAAAUUAUUACAUCAUCAAGAUAAUGCUCUGUUCAUGCUACGAAUAUUAAUCAUCUCUGUUUAUGUUGAAUACAAUCUUUGCUAAGAGUAACUUGCCAAUUGCACUUUAACGAAAAUCAUUCCUCUAUGUCACUAUUAGAAAAUUCAUGUGUUUAAUUAUAUCAUCCUAAUUGUCCAUUGCAUGUUCCUAUUGUAGACAUUAAAGGUGAAAAGUUCUGUGUGUACAACACUUUUCUGUCGGAUCCCUAUACGGAAUUGAUCCUGUGGUGUGCUCUGAUUUGGAUCUGAGUAUGAAUGGUUCAAUGGUGCCGGUGUACGCCCAUCGGACGGAGAACAUCGUACACAUAUCAAUGCUCAAUACUGAUAGUACCAUAACUGUCGCAUAUCUGCCAACGUCUAGAUGCAUCCUUUGUCCUCAAUUUUUGUGCACAUAAUCGUAGUUUGAGGUGCAUUUCGUUCUUAAAAAAUGUUGUAGUGUGAGCAAGCUUCAGAAGCAUAGAUGUUCACAAAAGAUAAAAAAUACUUGGUGGUGACGAUUAUCUAUGAAACAGCACUAGAGGCUAUGGCAAAGACAUACGCCCUAUCUUAUCCCCGCAAUGUCUAUAAGCUUCAUAUGAUUAAAAAUGUUAUAUUAUAUUUGGUCAACAUGUUGUGAGAAAUUCAUAUCUAACAUAGUAAAUUGUUUAAAGAAAACAUGGGUAAUUGUUUGUUAGAUACGAAAAUGAAAAUUGACGGGUGCUCAUUAUAGUUAGUUGUUUACAGUUUAAUUAAGAUGGCAUUGGUACAGUGAACAUCACAGGUCAGUAUUAAUUACUAUGGUAUUUGUAUGACACACUCACACUAACAUCCAUAAUACAUAAAGUAAAUACAAUUUAAUUAUUACAAGUUUGCACAUGUAGUGAAUAUUACAACAUUCGUCGGCACUUAUUUUUCUUCCAAGGUGCUAGCCCGUGCAGGCGCACGGGUUGACGACUAGUAUUUACUAAUUGGAGGCACUAUUCGAGACACCACGUUAAUCCUAGAAAACUUAACAAAAUCAUCCAUUCGAUCUGAGAGUUGCACCUCUGGAGCCGUUAGAUGAAAUCCCUCAUAGAGUCAUCACGAACUAUCCCACGUAAGGAGUUCUUUCCGAGCCUACAAAAAAACAUGUUCGUCUCUCCUUGUAAAAAUUAUCUCCGUCUGACAUCUUUCCCAUCUCUUCUACCCAG